This 1311-nucleotide ribosomal RNA is filed under the name Triticum aestivum (bread wheat). RNAcentral's name for it is "partial small subunit ribosomal RNA". Lineage: Eukaryota; Viridiplantae; Streptophyta; Magnoliopsida; Poales; Poaceae. The record is from RNAcentral.
GUGAAUAUGAAGAUCACACGGAAGGCAGUGCUGAAGCCUUCACCGGAGUCAGCAUGGGGCGGCGCCAAGAAGGUUCCCAUCACCGUCUUCGACCGUGCCUCCACGGAUGGGUACAUCCCGACGGUCUUCGCGUGGAGGGCGCCGGCACCUACCAACGGCGCGCUCAAGGACGGCCUCCUCGCCACCGUCGCAAGGUUCCCGCACCUCGCAGGGAGGUUCGCCGUCGAUGACUACGGAAGGAAGUGCCUCCACCUCAACAACGCCGGGGUGCUCGUCAUUGAGGCUACUGCCGGGGCGGACCUCGCAACAGUAUUGGCGCACGACGCCUCCGCCCAUAUUGCCGAGCUAUACCCAAAAGCGAAGAAGCAUGCAGUUCUUGGUCGUGUGCAGGAACAUGCGGACGAGCCUAUCUUCCAGGUGCAGCUGACGCGGUACACCUGCGGCGGGCUUGUGAUCGGCAUGGCCAGCCAUCACCAGGUCGCCGAUGGCCAGUCCAUGAGCGGCUUCUCCGCCUCCUGGGCCAGCGCCGUCCGCACUAACUCCUCUGCCCUCCCGUCGCCGUUCCUCGACCGUGGGGCCACCGACAACCCCCGCAGCCCGCCAUUGCUGUCGUUCAACCACAGACGCAUCGAGUUCAAGGGCGAGCACAGCUCCAGCCGCUCCUACAGAGUGCUCCCCUUGGAUAGGAUCAAUAACCUGGCAGUGCACUUCCCGGGCGAGUUCGUUGCCGAGCUCAAGGCCGGCGUGGGCGCGCCAUGCACCACGUUCCAGUGCCUCCUUACGCACGCGUGGAAGAAGGUCACUGCAGCGCGUGACCUGGCCCCGGAUGAUUUCACGCAGGUGAGGGUCGCCGUAAACUGCCGAGGCCGGGCCAAGCCUCCGGUGCCCAUGGACUUCUUCGGAAACAUGGUCCUCUUGGCAUUCCCGAGGAUGCAGGUCCGCGAUCUCCUAUCCGCCAGCUACCCCGCCGUGGUUGGCGUCAUCCGUGACGCCAUUGCGUGCGUGGAUGACGAGUACAUCCAGUCGUUCGUGGACUUCGGGGAGGCGCAGCACGACGUUAAACUAGCAUCCACGGCGGCAACGCUCGGCAUGGCGUUCUGCCCUGACCUGGAGGUGGAUAGCUGGCUCGGGUUUGGCUUUCACAACCUUGACUUCGGUGGUGGGCCGCCGUGCGCCUUCCUGCCGCCGGACCUUCCCAUCGAUGGAGUAAUGAUCUUGGUGCCGUCCUGCGCAGCCAAGGGUGGCGCCCAUCUGUUCGUGGCUCUUGACAACGAGCACGUAGAAGCCGUCAAGCAGAUUUGCUAUUGCAUA